AGGCGUAAGGUUCCAUGCGAGCGGUAAGAGUGCGGCGGGACUUGGAAAUCGAAUCUGUGCUCUGUGAGAGAUCCUAGGAAAGGAAACUGGGAGCCCGGGAGAACUAAAAUUCCCAAUUAAAAGUGAAUUUAAAUCUGAGCUGUUCUUAGACCCAGAAUUUCUUGCCUGAAGGAGGAAUCAGGUCCCCACAAGGAAAGACCCUGCAACUGUAUAAAAAAAGAAUCUAAAAAGAUCAUGACUCCUUCAGUCCUUUCCCAAAGAGACCUAUGGAAAUUUCCUCAGCUCAGUGCACUGACUUGACACGACAUGAGGCAAACAAGUGAGGAGAGUGGCCCACCACAGUCUAAGAUUCUAUUGGGUUACCUCUGAAACGCGAAGACAUGCUGCUCACAGAAGAGAACAAUGGGUACAAGGACUGCAAGGCUGCAAAGCUUCAUCCCAACAGCAAUUUUCUGUACAACAAAUUUCUCUGAAGAGAAAAACCCAGAUCAUUGAUUGCAUAACAGCCUUCUUUACACACUGGUUAAAAUAUAACGGCAUGUUCCCUCUUGUUCCUGUGGGUCAAUCAACUUAGCUUCCAUUUCCACUCCCAAAAAGAGAAAUAUUAUUGGCUUAGUUAGGCUGUUGCUUGAUAAUUAAACACUCAAAAAGAGUAUGAUGAGAGUUGCUCUUAAUUUAGACUAUCUAGAAAAUGUGUAACUCCUUGGGGAAGGUAGGGCCAAGAAUAAAAGGGUAGUAAUACAGUAGGAUCUUGUCUGGUUUAUUGCAGAACAAUAGCUAUAGAAUAUUGACUAAUGGAUAUAUAGCCCAUGUUGAGGGAGAUCUACCGUGAAGUACUAUAAAUGUCUUCCCUUGCCUCUGACUUUUUCAACAUUUUAAAUUUAUGAAGAUGUAAAAAGUGAGUUCCUCAAAUCUGGCUAAUCCAAUCCAAUGUUGAAGUGCAGUUUGUAAGGAUGAUUACAGGAUCUCUGUUCAAAAAGAUGUUUCCUUGACCAUAUGGAAUGAUAGGCCCACCCCCAAUAGGAAUACUAUUUCAUGGAAGCUGGUUCAAGCAGUAAAGACAUCAGGUUACUUUGAAUCUCAUUUAUUUAAAGGUCACCAUAAUAGCCAUCAAUUAAAUCCAGGCCCAUCCCCUAUCAUCUUGAAAGUAGCAUCAAAUAACAUUUUGUCUAGUAUGAGGCCAUAUCCUACCCUCUGUAAGUGAGUGGAGCCCUCUUCCCCUACAUUCCCAUUGGUUAAUGCACUUGAAUGUUCUUGAAGUCAGAAUUGGCAAAUUUGCAAAAUAAAUCAGCCUGCCCACAAUUAACUUCUGAGAAGAAAAUGAUUUUUUUUCUUUUUUCUUUUCUUUUUUUUUUUUUUUUUUUGAGACAGAGUCUCACUCUGUAGCCCAAGCUGGAGUGCAGAGGCGUGAUCUUGGCUCACUGCAACCUUCACCUCUGGGGCUCAAGCAAUUCUCCUGCCUCAGCCUCCCAAGUAGCUGGGACUAGAGGUGUGCCCCACCACACCCAGUUAAUUUUUUUUGUAUUUUUAGUAGAGACAGGGUUGCACCAUGUUGCACUGGAUGGUCUCAAACUCCUGAGCUCAGGAGAUCCACCUGCCUCUGCCUUCCAAAGUGCUGGGAAUACAGGCGUGAGCCAUCGUGCCUGGCCAGAAGAAAAUGAUUGAGAUUUCAAACUUUUCCUUUUGAGAUUUAAAACUAUUGAAUGAUAUUUAAUGAAUUAAAGUGACCUCCACUGUAACCACUUGUUGUAUAAGAAAGAAGAAGAAAUAAGAAAAUAUGUGUGUGUCUGCUCAUAUGUGGAGAAAGAAACAUAAGAAGGAUAGAUUAGAAAUCAAUGAGACUGGUUAUCCACGGGAGGUGAGUGGAAACACACUGGAAAAGACAGGGUAGAAGAGACAGGGAGGGACGCUUCUUUGGGUGAAGUGUUUUGAAUAGUUCUGAACUUUAGAACUACUCUGAAUUUUAGAACCAUGUUCUUUUCACAUAUGUACUUAAAACAAGCAAACAAAUAAAUUUUAAAAAAUAAUACAAACAAAAACGAACCUGUGUUUCAAAUGAAUAACAUAAUCACACUGAAGGAGAGAAAGAAAAACUAACCCAAGUAACUUUUACCUUAUCUUUUUAACAUAAAAGUUAACUUUAAAACAAACAGUCAAAAUAGUU
Molecule: long non-coding RNA, 2164 nt
Filed under: Homo sapiens (human)
Lineage: Eukaryota; Metazoa; Chordata; Mammalia; Primates; Hominidae
Description: CPB2 antisense RNA 1
Source: RNAcentral